Molecule: ribosomal RNA, 253 nt
Filed under: uncultured bacterium
Lineage: Bacteria
Description: partial 16S ribosomal RNA
Rfam family: Bacterial small subunit ribosomal RNA
Source: RNAcentral
UACGUAGGGUGCGAGCGUUAAUCGGAAUUACUGGGCGUAAAGCGUGCGCAGGCGGUUUUGUAAGCCAGAUGUGAAAGCCCCGGGCUUAACCUGGGAAUGGCAUUUGGGACUGCAAGGCUUGAGUGCGGCAGAGGAGACUGGAAUUCCUGGUGUAGCAGUGAAAUGCGUAGAUAUCAGGAGGAAUACCGAUGGCGAAGGCGGCGACCUGGUCCAUAACUGACGCUGAGGCGCGAAAGCGUGGGGAGCAAACAGG